AAGUAAAAGUCGUAACAAGGUUUCCGUAGGUGAACCUGCGGAAGGAUCAUUACAGAGUUCAUGCCCGAAAGGGUAGACCUCCCACCCUUGUGUAUUAUUACUUUGUUGCUUUGGCGAGCUGCUCUUCGGGGCCUUGUAUGCUCGCCAGAGAAUAUCAAAACUCUUUUUAUUAAUGUCGUCUGAGUACUAUAUAAUAGUUAAAACUUUCAACAACGGAUCUCUUGGUUCUGGCAUCGAUGAAGAACGCAGCGAAAUGCGAUAAGUAAUGUGAAUUGCAGAAUUCAGUGAAUCAUCGAAUCUUUGAACGCACAUUGCGCCCCUUGGUAUUCCGGGGGGCAUGCCUGUUCGAGCGUCAUUUCAACCCUCAAGCUCAGCUUGGUAUUGAGUCUAUGUCAGCAAUGGCAGGCUCUAAAAUCAGUGGCGGCGCCGCUGGGUCCUGAACGUAGUAAUAUCUCUCGUUACAGGUUCUCGGUGUGCUUCUGCCAAAACCCAAACUUUCUAUGGUUGACCUCGGAUCAGGUAGGGAUACCCGCUGAACUUAAGCAUACU
This 549-nucleotide ribosomal RNA is filed under the name Sclerotinia sclerotiorum. Its description in RNAcentral is "eukaryotic LSU rRNA". The stretch from base 202 to 355 matches the Rfam family "5.8S ribosomal RNA". The record is from RNAcentral. Lineage: Eukaryota; Fungi; Ascomycota; Leotiomycetes; Helotiales; Sclerotiniaceae.